AUUGAACGCUGGCGGCAUGCUUUACACAUGCAAGUCGAACGGUAACAGGCCUUCGGGUGCUGACGAGUGGCGAACGGGUGAGUAAUGCAUCGGAACGUGCCCAGAGGUGGGGGAUAACGCAGCGAAAGCUGUGCUAAUACCGCAUGUGAUCUGAGGAUGAAAGCGGGGGACCAGGCAGCAAUGUUUGGCCUCGCGCCUUUGGAGCGGCCGAUGUCAGAUUAGGUAGUUGGUGGGGUAAAGGCCUACCAAGCCGACGAUCUGUAGCUGGUCUGAGAGGACGACCAGCCACACUGGGACUGAGAAACGGCCCAGACUCCUACGGGAGGCAGCAGUGGGGAAUUUUGGACAAUGGGCGCAAGCCUGAUCCAGCAAUGCCGCGUGCGGGAAGAAGGCCUUCGGGUUGUAAACCGCUUUUGUACGGAACGAAAAGGCUCUGGCUAAUACCUGGGGCUGAUGACGGUACCGUAAGAAUAAGCACCGGCUAACUACGUG
Molecule: ribosomal RNA, 492 nt
Filed under: uncultured bacterium
Lineage: Bacteria
Description: partial 16S ribosomal RNA
Rfam family: Bacterial small subunit ribosomal RNA
Source: RNAcentral